Molecule: ribosomal RNA, 590 nt
Filed under: uncultured bacterium
Lineage: Bacteria
Description: bacterial SSU rRNA
Rfam family: Bacterial small subunit ribosomal RNA
Source: RNAcentral
UGCAAGUCGAACGCAGUAGCAAUACUGAGUGGCAGACGGGUGAGUAUAAUGUGGGAAUCUGCCUUUUGGUUCGGAAUAACACGAGGAAACUUGUGCUAAUACCGGAUAAGCCUUCACAGGGAAAGUUUUAAUGCCAAAAGAUGAGCCCGCACUUGAUUAGCUAGUUGGUAAGGUAAUGGCUUACCAAGGCAACGAUCAAUAGCUGUUCUUAGAGGAAGAUCAGCCACAUUGGGACUGAGACACGGCCCAAACUCCUACGGGAGGCAGCAGUGGGGAAUCUUGCACAAUGGGGGCAACCCUGAUGCAGCGAUGCCGCGUGAGUGAAGAAGGCCUUUGGGUUGUAAAACUCUUUCGUCGGGGAAGAAAAUGACUGUACCCGAAUAAGAAGGUCCGGCUAACUUCGUGCCAGCAGCCGCGGUAAUACGAAGGGACCUAGCGUAGUUCGGAAUUACUGGGCUUAAAGAGUUCGUAGGUGGUUGAAAAAGUUAGUGGUGAAAUCCCAGAGCUUAACUCUGGAACUGCCAUUAAAACUUUUCAGCUAGAGUAUGAUAGAGGAAAGCAGAAUUUCUAGUGUAGAGGUGAAAUUCGUA